RNAcentral lists this long non-coding RNA (1329 nucleotides) under Corvus moneduloides (New Caledonian crow). RNAcentral's name for it is "lncRNA (ENSCMUG00000018850.1)". The record is from RNAcentral. Lineage: Eukaryota; Metazoa; Chordata; Aves; Passeriformes; Corvidae.
GGGGUCACCCCUGCACGCCAGGGGCCACCAGGGACCCUCAGGGACCACCAGCAGCCACCAGGAGCCACCAGGGACCCUCAGGAACCACCAGGAGCCACCAGGGACCACCAGGGACCACCAGCAGCCACCAGGGACCAUCAGGAACCACCAGGAACCACCAGGGGCCAUCAGGAGCCACCAGCAGCCACCAGGGACCACCAGCAGUCACCAGGGACCACCAGGAAUCACCAGGGGCCACCAGGAGCCACCAGGGACCACCAGGAGCCACCAGCAGCCACCAGCAGCCACCAGGGACCAUCAGGAACCACCAGGAGCCACCAGGAGCCACCAGGGGCCACCAGGGGCCACCAGGCACCACCAGGCACCACCAGGAGCCACCAGCAGCGACCAGGGACCACCAGCAGCCUCCAGGGACCAUCAGGAACCACCAGGAGCCACCAGGCACCACCAGGAGCCACCAGCGGCCACCAGGGACCACCAGCAGUCACCAGGGACCACCAGGAAUCACCAGGGGCCACCAGGAGCCACCAGGGACCACCAGGAGCCACCAGCAGCCACCAGCAGCCACCAGGGACCAUCAGGAACCACCAGGAGCCACCAGGGGCCACCAGGGGCCACCAGUGGCCACCAGGAGCCACCAGGCGCCACCAGGAGCCACCAGCAGCGACCAGGGACCACCAGCAGCCUCCAGGGACCAUCAGGAACCACCAGCAGCCUCCAGGGGCCAUCAGGAGCCACCAGGCACCACCAGGAGCCACCAGCGGCCACCAGGGACCACCAGCAGUCACCAGGGACCACCAGGAAUCACCAGGGGCCACCAGGAGCCACCAGGGACCACCAGCGACCACCAGGAGCCACCAGGCACCACCAGGAGCCACCAGCAGCGACCAGGGACCACCAGCAGUCACCAGGGACCACCAGGAAUCACCAGGGGCCACCAGGAGCCACCAGGAAUCACCAGGGGCCACCAGGGGCCACCAGGCACCACCAGCGGCCACCAGGAGCCACCAGGCACCACCAGGAGCCACCAGCAGCGACCAGGGACCACCAGCAGCCUCCAGGGACCAUCAGGAACCACCAGGAGCCACCAGCAGCCACCAGGAACCACCAGGGGCCACCAGGAACCACCAGGAACCACCAGCGGCCACCAGUAAUCACCCAGCACCGGGGGAGAGUCAGACAUGGGGGGAAUGGUGCCCACCAAUAACCACCAGUACCCCCAGCACCCAGAGAGGGUCAGGGAGGGGGCAAUGGUACCCACCAGUAACCAUCAGUAACCCCCAGUACCCAGAGAGGAUCAGGGAGGGGGGAAUUGGUGCCCACCAGUAA